AGAGUUUGAUCCUGGCUCAGAAUGAACGCUGGCGGCGUGCUUAGCACAUGCAAGUCGCACGAGAACGCUUCAGCUUGCUGGAGCUAGUAAAGUGGCGUACGGGUGAGUAACGCGUGGGUAAUCUAUCUCUGAAUUGGGGAUAACAUUGCGAAAGCGAUGCUAAUACCGGAUAAUAUCCAUUAAGCCUCGGUUUUUUUGGAUCAAAGGUGGCCUCUACAUGUAAGCUACUGUUCGGAGACGAGCCCGCGUACCAUUAGCUUGUUGGUAGGGUAAUGGCCUACCAAGGCAACGAUGGUUAGCUGGUCUGAGAGGAUGAUCAGCCACACUGGAACUGACACACGGUCCAGACUCCUACGGGAGGCAGCAGUGAGGAAUUUUGCGCAAUGGGGGGAACCCUGACGCAGCAACGCCGCGUGAGUGAUGAAGGCUUUCGGGUCGUAAAGCUCUGUCAAGUGGGAAGAACCCGUGCCGCACAAAUAGUGCGGUGCGCUGACGGUACCACUGAAGGAAGCACCGGCUAACUCCGUGCCAGCAGCCGCGGUAAUACGGGGGGUUCAAGCGUUAUUCGGAAUCAUUGGGCGUAAAGAGCGCGUAGGCGGUCUUCUAUGUCAGGUGUGAAAGCCCGGGGCUCAACCCCGGAAGUGCACUUGAAACUGGGAGACUUGAGUAUGGGAGAGGGAAGUGGAAUUCCUGGUGUAGCGGUGAAAUGCGUAGAUAUCAGGAGGAACACCGGUGGCGAAGGCGACUUCCUGGACCAAUACUGACGCUGAGGCGCGAAGGCGUGGGGAGCAAACAGGAUUAGAUACCCUGGUAGUCCACGCCGUAAACGAUGAGUGCUAGACGUCGGGAAGCUUGCUUUUCGGUGUCGCAGCUAACGCAUUAAGCACUCCGCCUGGGGAGUACGGCCGCAAGGUUAAAACUCAAAGGAAUUGACGGGGGCCCGCACAAGCGGUGGAGCAUGUGGUUUAAUUCGAUGCAACGCGAAGAACCUUACCAGCUCUUGACAUGCUAGGUUUCGGAUUCGAGAGAUCGAUUCUUUCAGUUCGGCUGGGCCUAGCACAGGUGCUGCAUGGCUGUCGUCAGCUCGUGUCGUGAGAUGUUGGGUUAAGUCCCGCAACGAGCGCAACCCUCAUCUUCAGUUGCCAUCAGGUCAAGCUGGGCACUCUGAAGAAACUGCCGGUGACAAGCCGGAGGAAGGUGGGGAUGACGUCAAGUCCUCAUGGCCCUUACGGGCUGGGCUACACACGUGCUACAAUGACGGUGACAGUGGGAUGCGAUGGCGCGAGCCGGAGCGAAUCUCCAAAAGCCGUCUCAGUUCGGAUUGCACUCUGCAACUCGGGUGCAUGAAGUUGGAAUCGCUAGUAAUCGUGGAUCAGCAUGCCACGGUGAAUACGUUCCCGGGCCUUGUACACACCGCCCGUCACACCAUGGGAGUUGGUUUUACCUUAAGACGGUGCGCUAACCGCAAGGAGGCAGCCGGCCACGGUAAGGUCAGCGACUGGGGUGAAGUCGUAACAAGGUA
This 1522-nucleotide ribosomal RNA is filed under the name metagenome. Its description in RNAcentral is "bacterial SSU rRNA". It matches the Rfam family "Bacterial small subunit ribosomal RNA". The record is from RNAcentral.